UUCCUCAUUCCUUUACUGGUAUAAUGAUGAACGCAGGACAGUGGAAGAAACAAACCGGCCAGUGACUGAAAAAAUGUAGUGUGUAGUCCCGGGAGUGAGUUGCUGUAUCUUGUAACUAGUGCCGGGUGUCGUCUCUUGUGUCUCGUGUUGCCGUGUCGUCGUGUGUCGUGCCGUAAAAACCACGUUUGCCGAAAAUAUAUAGAUAUCUGCAGUUGGCUUAUAAAACCGUGUGCAUGUAUGCAAUCUAUUAUUAACAGAGUCGGCUCUGAAUUGCACUUCCUCACUGAUAGUGACAUAUGUUACACUUCGAACAGAAAUGGAGAAACUGUGAGAUUUGAUACAAUUAUUGGCCACAUUGAGGAUAUAUUAGUUGAAGAGGAAUAUCAUAAACUGCAGAACGACUUCUUGGAGAAAUACUGGCAGGAAUUCGAAAAUGACGAAGAAAACAAACUUGUGUAUACGGAUAUAUUCAAUGAAUAUGUGAAACUUCUUGAAGAGCACAUUGAAAAAAGACUGAAUGAUCUAGUUCCAAACUUUUCCAUGGCAGCAUUUCUUGAAGAUUUGAUGGAACAGAAGGACGCUCUUGAUGGCGAAGUCUUUGAAGUUCUUCUGACGUUAGCAGAUUUCAGAUGCUUCAAAGACAUGGUUCUUGAUUUUCGAGCGGAAGGAUCUAUCCCUGUUUCGGGAAAUGAAGCUGCCUGGAAACAAAGAAUUCGCACUUCGCAGCGUUCAUGGCAACUCUUGUAGUGUUGCUACGUAGUUUGAUCCUGAACUCUGGAAUUAGAAUUAUCACAGGCCAAAAACAACGAAUUCGAUGAAGGAAGGAAGUUCGGUUGACUUCAGUGACGGAAUAACUAUUACACCUGUUAGUUUUGCUGAUUAAUAAUUAUUUGUCAAUUAUUGAAAUGUAAUCGUCACGUUUGUACCUGCACUUCUAGUCGAAUUUAUUCAGUUAUGCGACACCUUAAAUUCCAUGCACCAAGUGAAUGUAUCGUUGCAAAGAAAUCAAAAAAUAAAAAUUUUGUACUGAUCUUUUCAUCAAACUUUUGAAUUACAAUUUAUAAGAUGCUUUAUAA
This 1076-nucleotide unclassified non-coding RNA is filed under the name Nilaparvata lugens (brown planthopper). RNAcentral describes it as "aDP-ribosylation factor-like protein 2-binding protein, transcript variant X3". Lineage: Eukaryota; Metazoa; Arthropoda; Insecta; Hemiptera; Delphacidae. The record is from RNAcentral.